RNAcentral lists this ribosomal RNA (465 nucleotides) under uncultured bacterium. Its description in RNAcentral is "SSU rRNA". It matches the Rfam family "Bacterial small subunit ribosomal RNA", at positions 26 to 518 of the family's 1533-position model. The record is from RNAcentral.
AGGACUAACGCUGGCGGCGUGCCUAACGACAUGCAAGUCGAACGAGAGUAGCAAUACUCUAGUGGCAGACGGGUGAGUAACACGUGGUCAACCUACCUUUAAGUGGGGGAUAACUAGCCGAAAGGUUAGCUAAUACCGCAUACGAUCUUCGCGUGGCAUCACAUGAAGAUGAAAGGAGCAAUCCGCUGAAAGACGGGACCGCGUCCCAUUAGCCAGUUGGUGGGGUAACGGCCUACCAAAGCAACGAUGGGUAGCUGGCUUGAGAGAGCGACCAGCCACACUGGGACUGAGACACGGCCCAGACUCCUACGGGAGGCAGCAGUGAGGAAUUUUCCGCAAUGGGCGAAAGCCUGACGGAGCGACGCCGCGUGUGGGAUGAAGGCCUUCGGGUCGUAACCACUGUCGAAGGGAAGAUAUUGACGGUACCCUUGGAGGAAGCCCGGCUAACUACGCGCCAGCAGCCGC